CGAACGGGUGAGUAACGCGUGAGGAACCUGCCUCAAAGAGGGGGACAACAGUUGGAAACGACUGCUAAUACCGCAUAAGCCCACGGCUCGGCAUCGAGCAGAGGGAAAAGGAGUGAUCCGCUUUGAGAUGGCCUCGCGUCCGAUUAGCUAGUUGGUGAGGUAACGGCCCACCAAGGCGACGAUCGGUAGCCGGACUGGGAGGUUGAACGGCCACAUUGGGACUGAGACACGGCCCAG
This 237-nucleotide ribosomal RNA is filed under the name uncultured bacterium. RNAcentral's name for it is "partial 16S ribosomal RNA". It matches the Rfam family "Bacterial small subunit ribosomal RNA", at positions 99 to 334 of the family's 1533-position model. The record is from RNAcentral.